CCCAGUCGAAGCCUAUAUCCCACAGGAGC
Molecule: small RNA, 29 nt
Filed under: Bombyx mori (domestic silkworm)
Lineage: Eukaryota; Metazoa; Arthropoda; Insecta; Lepidoptera; Bombycidae
Description: ovarian small RNA-13638
Source: RNAcentral